Tenericutes bacterium GWD2_38_27 is the source of this 340-nucleotide non-coding RNA. NCBI's taxonomy places the organism in Bacteria, Bacillati, Mycoplasmatota. The record is from Rfam.
GGGGAUGUUCUGGAUUCGUCACGGCAUGGAGUAAAGUAUAAGCAUGUCUUGGUCGCUCAAGUAAAAAGGCCGAGGUUAUAAUAACCGGAAAUCAAUCUUUUAGUUUCGCUGCCUAAGAAAAGGUGCGAGCCAAAUUUGAAUGUACUUACCGUUCUAAUGCGGCCCAAUUUUAGUAAGUUAUAUUUAUUGCGAUUCCUAUACCAAUAAAAGAACCCCAUAGGAUAGUGCUUUGGACUUUUGUUCAUUUAGUAUCGAGCACGAGAUCAUAAAUGGAAUAAACAUGUAGAAAGUGCUUUAUGAAGUGUUUUGCACAGGGGUUCAAAUCCCCUCAUCUCCACCA